GAGAGGGUUAAGACCCUCGGCGGACUGCUCAGUAACACGUGGAUAACCUGCCCUAAGGUGGAGGAUAACCCCGGGAAACUGGGGAUAAUACUCCAUAGGUUAAAGGUACUGGAAUGUUCUUUAACCGAAAGUUCCGGCGCCUUAGGAUGGAUCUGCGGCCGAUUAGGUUGUUGUUGGGGUAGUGGCCCAACAAGCCUGUAAUCGGUACGGGUUGUGGGAGCAAGAGCCCGGAGAUGGAAUCUGAGACACGAUUCCAGGCCCUACGGGGCGCAGCAGGCGCGAAAACUUUACAAUGCAGGAAACUGUGAUAAGGGAACCCCGAGUGCCCGUAUAUGCGGGCUGUCCGGAUGUUUAAAACGCAUCCGAAGAAAGGGCCGGGCAAGACCGGUGCCAGCCGCCGCGGUAAUACCGGCGGCUCGAGUGGUGGCCACUUUUAUUGGGCUUAAAGCGUUCGUAGCUUGAAUAAUAAGUCUCUUGGGAAAUCUGCAGGCUUAACCUGCAGGCGUUUAAGAGAAACUGUUGUUCUAGGAACCGGAAGAGGUGAGAGGUACUCCGGGGGUAGGAGUGAAAUCCUGUAAUCCC
This 582-nucleotide ribosomal RNA is filed under the name uncultured archaeon. RNAcentral's name for it is "bacterial SSU rRNA". It matches the Rfam family "Archaeal small subunit ribosomal RNA", at positions 60 to 649 of the family's 1478-position model. The record is from RNAcentral.